This 253-nucleotide ribosomal RNA is filed under the name uncultured bacterium. Its description in RNAcentral is "partial 16S ribosomal RNA". It matches the Rfam family "Bacterial small subunit ribosomal RNA", at positions 524 to 776 of the family's 1533-position model. The record is from RNAcentral.
UACGUAGGGUGCAAGCGUUGCCCGGAUUUACUGGGCGUAAAGGGCGUGCAGGCGGUCUGUUAAGUUCAGGGUGAAAGCUCCCGGCUCAACUGGGAGAGGUCCUUGGAUACUGGCAGACUUGAGGGAGGUAGAGGAGAGUGGAAUUCCCGGUGUAGUGGUGAAAUGCGCAGAUAUCAGGAGGAACACCGGUGGCGAAGGCGGGUCUCUGGGCCGAUACUGACGCUGAGGAGCGAAAGCGUGGGGAGCGAACAGG